GGAGUGUAAGUGCACAACCUCUCGUCCCCUCUGACUUGUGUGUGCUUGCCCUUCAACUUUCCACCAUGAUGACCCUUAUUAGAUGCCAGCACCAAGGCUGGUAGACUUCUCAGCCUCCAGAACCAUGCACUAAGUACACUCCUAUUGUUUAUAAAUUCCCCAGCCUCAGGUAUUCUGUUAUGGCAGCAGAAAACAGACUGAGACAGUGUCCUUGUGUUUUCUGUCUGUGACCUUGCGUUUUCAGGACCUGGGACUCUUUUUCAGGAUUUACGGAGCAAGAGCGGUUGGCCUUUUCCCUCUGGCUGUUCAGAGCAGCCUGUUUCUAAGCGCUGCCGAGGCCAGGGAGACACUCUUUGUUCUCAGCCCCAGGGGCCAUAAGAAACAGGAACUGGCUGUUUGCUCUGGCCCAUGCACCUUGGCUGAAACACAGAGAGGCCCGUUUCCUGUGUGCCCCUGGUGUUCCUACCCUGUGGCCUUCUGAGGCAUCUGAGGUUGAAAUGGCUGUAGCCAAUGCCAGUUCUCUUGUCACCCAACCUGAGCCGCUAGCAGCCUAAUUUCUGCAGAAAACAGUGCACUAGAUCAUACAGCCUGGGUCUGAUGCCAGAGCUGGGCUGGAGGCCACCUGGGGGGCAGAGGCCCCUCGGUGCCUCCCCAUUUCUGCAAGCAGUUGGGGUCAGAAGCCAAGAGCCCAUGGCAGCUGACCCGGCAGUGACAGCCGGGAGUGUUGGGUGGGGAGAGGGUGAGCACUCAGCCAGGCGCUGCCUCUGGGAUUCCUGUUGACCUAGCAUCCUUCGUAGAAGCUGUGCUUCCCCCAUGUUUGUGGGACAUGUUUUUGAGCUUUCGCUUUGGCUCUUGGCAAACCCACCUGGAAAGCUGGCCCAGCCCGUGCAGGAGUGAAGGAGAGAAGGCAAACACCAAGGCUGGGCUUUGCUUAGGGCAGGGAUUAAGAAGAGAGCCCCAUGAUUUUAAAAAAUGUGCUAUAUAUACAGUAUGGAAUUUUACUCAGCAAUAAAAGAGAAUAAAAUCAUGGCAUUUGCAGGUAAAUAGAUGUAGUUAGAGAAGAUAAUGCUAAGUGAAGUUAGCCAAUCCCAACAAAACAAAUGCUGAAUGCUUUCUCUGAUACAAGGAGGCUGAUUCAUAGUAGGUUAGGGAGGGGAAACAUGG
RNAcentral lists this long non-coding RNA (1164 nucleotides) under Marmota monax (woodchuck). Lineage: Eukaryota; Metazoa; Chordata; Mammalia; Rodentia; Sciuridae. The record is from RNAcentral.